This 234-nucleotide long non-coding RNA is filed under the name Elaeis guineensis (African oil palm). RNAcentral's name for it is "long non-coding RNA (EGUI_LNC060817)". Lineage: Eukaryota; Viridiplantae; Streptophyta; Magnoliopsida; Arecales; Arecaceae. The record is from RNAcentral.
AGCUUAUUCUUCAGCCCUUAUAUCGACUCCCCGACCUUUCUUGCAGAUUGGGCAUCAGCUCGUCGCCAACGUCGAGGCGGUGAAGAUCGCCCAGAGGGAGGCAGCUCGGGCAGAAGAAGGUCGUCUAGCUGGGGCCGCCCGCCUUGAGGAGAAGAUCGUCGAGGUCCGGAGCCUCUAGGAGGCGCUGAAAAAGGAGGGACAAAUCUCGUCCGAUCUGAGGACCGCCUUGAAGGA